UUUUUUUUUGUCUGGAGUCUCAUCCAGACUUAUGGGGGAAUCAUAGUCUCCAUCAUCCUUUCCUCACUGGGACAAUGCUCUAAUAAUGAUGAUCAUCACACUCGAUACUUAGAACAAAAUAUGACUCUAUAUGAAUGCCUCCGGCGGUGUACCGGGAUAUGCAAUGAAUCAAGAGCGACAUGUAUGAAAAUUAUGAAGGUGGCCUUGCCACAAAUACAAUGUCAACUACAAGUUCAUGCAAAAAGCAAUAUGACAAAAGUAAUGUAUGUCAUAUGAACGGAACGGUGGAAAGUUGCAUGGCAAUAUAUCUCGGAAUGGCUAUGGAAAUGCCAUGAUAGGUAGGUAUGGUGGCUGUUUUGAGGAAGGUAUAUGGUGGGUGUAUGGUACCGGCGAAAGUUGCGCGGCACAAGAGAGGCUAGCAAUAAUGGAAGGGUGAAAGGGUGCGUAUAAUCCAUGGACUCAACAUUAAUCAAAAGAACUCAUGCACUUGUUGCAAAAAUUUAGAAGUCAUCAAAAAUCAAGUACUACGCGCAUGCUCCUAGGGGGAUAGAUUGGUAGGAAAAGACCAUCGCUCGUCCCCGACCGCCACUCAUAAGGGUGCACAAGCCAGGUACACUUCAUGUUUCAAAUUUGUUACACACCUUUAACCAUACGUGCAUGCUACAGGACUUGCAAACUUCAACACAAGCAUUUCUCAAAUUCAUAAUCACCCAACUAGCACGACUUUGAUAUUAUCACCUCCAUAUCUCAAAACAAUUAUCAAGCAUCAAACUUAUCUUAGUAUUCAAUUCACUCAAAAGAAAGUUUCACAUAUCUUGAAUACCAAGUAUAUUAACAUUAAGCAAAUUACCAUGCUAUUUAAUACUCUCAAAAUAGUCUAAGUGAAGCAUGAGAGUUCAAUAGUUUCUUUAAAACAAAUCCACCACCGUGCUCUAAAAGAUAUAAGUGAAGUACUAGAGCAAUAACUAAAACUACUCCGAAAGAUAUAAGUGAAGAUCAAUGAGUAGUCGAAUAAUUAUGAAACUAUGUGAAGACUCUCCCAUUUAAUAAUUUCAGAUCUUGAUACUUUAUUCAAACAGCAAGCAAAGCUAAAGAAAACUACAUUGCAAGGAUAGCACAACUCAUGUGAAGAAGCAAAAACUUAGGCUCAACCGAUACUAACCGAUAGUUGUUGAAGAAGAAAGGUGGGAUGCCUACCAGGGCAUCCCCAAGAUUAGAUGCUUGAGACUUCUUGAAAUAUUAUUUUGGGGUGCCUUGAGCAUCCCCAAGCUUGAGCUUUUGUGUCUCCUUAAUUCCUCUCAUAUCAUGGUUUCUCUUUUUAUCAAAAGCUUCAUUCACAACAAACUCAAAAAGAUCUCGUGAGAUAGGUUAGUAUAAGCCAAUGCAAAACCUUAUCAUUUUCUACUGUAACAAAUCACUAAAAUUAUUAUUCAACAUUGCAUACUAAAUGCCUCUGUAUAUUUAAUACUCCUAUCCUCAAAUAGAAUCAUUAAACAAGCAAACAUAUGCAAACAAUGCAACCAUAACAGCAAUCUGCCAAAACAGUACAGUCUGUAAAGAAUGCAAGAGUAACAAUACUUCCCUGAAUCCAAAAAUUAUGAACUAAAAUUAACACUGUAAUAAAUUUAUCAGAGCUAAAUAUUCAAAAAGAUUAAACAUUAUACCAUUCUCUGACUUUUCUAGGGAAUUUUUGCAACAGCGGUAAACUUUCUGUUUUCAAAUAGCAACAUGUAUACUAGCAAAACAAGCAUGGCAAAGGCUAUCCUUGACUUUUUUUAUUAAAACUAAAGAUGAAAAACAUUAUUCUAACUAACAGAAAGCAAACACUAAGAAAAUAAAAUGACGCUCCAAGCAAAACACAUAUCAUGUGGUGAAUAAAAAUAUAGCUCCAAGUAAAGCUACCGAUGAACGAAGACAAAAGAGGGGAUGCCUUCUGGGGCAUCCCCAAGCUUAGGCUCUUGGUUGUCCUUGAAUAUUACCUUGGGGUGCCUUGGGAAUCCCCAAUCUUAGGCUCUUUCCACUCCUUAUUCCAUAAUUCAUCAAAUCUUUACCCAAAACUUGAAAACUUCAACCACACAAAACUCAAAACAAAACUCGUAAGCUCAGUUAGUAUAAGAAAAUAAAUCACCACUUAGGUACUGUAAUGAACUCAUUCUAAAUUCAUAUUUGUGUAAUAUAUAUUGUAUUCUAACUUCUCUAUGGUUCAUACCACUUAAUACUAGCCAUAGAUGCAUCAAAAUAAGCAAACAACACAAUGAAAACAGAAUUUGUCAAAAACAGAACAGUCUGUAGUAAUCUGUAUCAAACGUAUACCUCUGGAACCCCAAAAAUUAUGAAAUAAAUUGAUGGACCUGAGUAAUUUGUAUAUUAAUCACCUGCAAAAAGAAUCAACCUAAAAUCACUCUCCAGUAAAAAUGGCAGCCAUUCUCGUGAGCGCAAAAGUUUCUGUUUUUUACAGCAAGAUCAUAUAAACUUCACCCAAGUCUUCCCAAAGGUUCUACUUGGCACUUUAUUGAAAUAAAAGCUAUAAAACAUGAUUACUACAGUAGCAUAAUCAUGUGUACACACAAAAACAGUAAGGGUAAAUAUUGGGUUGUCUCCCAACAAGCGCUUUCCUUUAAUGCCUCUCUAGCUAGGCAUGAUGAUGACAAUGAUGCUCACAUAAAAGAUAAGGAUUGAAACAUAACGGGAGCAUCAUGAAGCAUAUGACUAGCACAUUUAAGCCUAACCCUCUUCCUAUGCAUAGGGGUUUUGUGAGCAAACAACUUAUGGGAACAAUAAUCAACUAGCAUAGGAAGGUAAAACAAGCAUAACUUCAAGAUUUUAAGCACAUAGAGAGGAAACUUGACAUUAUUGCAAUUCCUACAAGCAUAUGUUCCUCCCUCAUAAUAAUUUUCAGUAGCAUCAUGAAUGAAUUCAACAAUAUAAACAGCACCUAAAGCAUUCUUUUCAUGAUCUACAAGCAUAGAAAAUUUACUAUUCUCAAUAUAAGCAAAUUUCUUCUCAUGAAUAGUAGUGGGAGCAAACUCAACAAAAUAACUAUCAUGUGAUUGAAAAUUAAGAUCAAGAUGACACGUUUCAUGAUUAUCAUUAUUCUUUAAAGCAUACAUGUCAUCACAAUAAUCAUCAUAGAUAGGAGGCAUGCUUUCAUCAUAGUAAAUAUGCUCAUCAAAGCUUGGGGGACAAAAAAUAUCAUCUCCAUCAAACAUAGCUUCCCCAAGCUUGUGGCUUUGCAUAUCAUUAGCAUCAUGGAUAUUCAAAGAAUUCGUACUAACAACAUUACAAUCAUACUCAUCAAAUAAAAACAUUCUAUAGAUUUCUUCUUCUAGCACUUGAGCACAAUUUUUUUUUCCAUCAUUCUCACGAAAGAUAUUAAAAAGAUGAAGCGUGUGAGACAAACUCAAUUCCAUUUUUUUGGUAGUUUUCUUUUGUAAACUAAACUAGUGCUAAAACAAGAAACAAAAAGAUUCGAUUUCAAGAUCUAAAGAUAUACCUUCAAGCGCUAACCUCCCCGGCAACGGCGCCAGAAAAGAGCUUGAUGUCUACUACACAACCUUCUUCUUGUAGAUGUUGUUGGGCCUACAAGUGCACAGGUUUGUAGGACAGUAGAAAAUUUCCCUCAAGUGGAUGACCUAAGGUUUAUCAAUCCAUAGGAGGCGUAGGAUGAAGAUGGUCUCUCUCAAACAACCCUGCAACCAAAUAACAAAGAGUCUCUUGUGUCCCCAACACACCCAAUACAAUGGCAAAUUGUAUGGGUGCACUAGUUCGGCGAAGAGAUGGUGAUACAAGUGCAAAAUAGAUAGUAGAUCUAGGUAUUUGUAAUCUGAAAUAAUAAAAACAGCAAGGUAACAAGCAAUAAAAGUGAGCGUAAACGGUAUUGCAAUGAUAGGAAACAAGGCCUAGGGUUCAUACUUUCACUAGUGCAAGUUCUCUCAACAAUAAUAACAUAGAUAGAUCAUAUAACAAGCCCUCAACAUGCAACAAAGAGUCACUCGAAAGCCACUAAUAGAGGAGAACAAACGUAGAGAUUAUGGUAGGGUAUGAAACCACCUCAAAGUUAUCCUUUCUGUUCUAUCUAUUCAAGAGUUCGUAGUAAAAUAACAUAAACCUAUUCUUUUUGCUCAAUCCAUCAUAGAGUUCAUACUAGAAUAACACCUUAAGACACAAAUCAACCAAAACCCUAAUGUCACCUAGAUACUCCAUUGUCACCUCAAGUAUCCAUGGGCAUGAUUAUACGAUAUGCAUCACACAAUCUCAGAUUCAUCCAACCAACACAAAGUACUUCAAAGAGUGCCCCAAAGUUUCUACCGGAGAGUCAAGAACGUGUGCCAACCCCUAUGCAUAGGUUCCCAAUGUCACGAAACCCGCAAGUUGAUCACCAAAACAUACAUCAAGUGGAUCGCAAGACAUACAUCAAGUGUUCUCAUAAAAGACUCAAUCCGAUAAGAUAACUUCAAAGGGGAAACUCAAUUCAUCACAAGAGAGUAGAGGGGGAGAAACAUCAUAAGAUCCAACUACAAUAGCAAAGCUCGGGAUACAUCAAGAUCGUGCCAUAGAGGGAACACGACAGAGAACAUGAGAGAGAGAGAGAUCAAACACAUAGCUACUGGUACAUACCCUCAGCCCCGAGGGUGAACUGCUCCCUCUUCGUCAUGGAUAGCGCCGGGAUGAUGAAGAUGGCCACCGGUGAUGGGAUCCCCCUCCGGCAGGGUGCCGGAACAGGGUCCCGAUUGGUUUUUGGUGGCUACAGAGGCUUGCGGCGGAAGAACUCCCGAUCUAUCUUCUGUUCUAGAAGUUUUAGGGUACGUAGGUAUAUAUGGGUGCAAGGGGUACGUCGCUGGAGCUACGGGGGGCCCACGAGGCAGGGGGCACGCCCAGGGCCCCCCCACCCUCGUGGGCAGCCCGGGACUCCCCUGACAUGCACUCCAAGUCCAUCAGGUGGGUUUCCUUCCAAAAUGAACUUCUCCAGUUGAUUUCAUUCCGUUUUGACUCCGUCUGAUAUUCCUUUUCCUCGAAACACCGAAAUAGGCAUAAAACAGCAAAUCUGGGCUGGGCCUCCGGUUAAUAGGUUAGUCCCAAAAAUAAUAUAAAAGUGGAUAAUAAAGCCCAAUAUUGCCUAAAACAGUAGAUAAAGUAGCAUGGAGCAAUCAAAAAUUAUAGAUACGUUGGAGACGUAUCAUUCACCUUGCCAUCCUUCUUAUCCGCCAAAUACUUGGGGCAGUUCCGAUUCCAGUGACCAGUCUGCUUGCAGUAGAAGCACUCAGUCUCAGGCUUAGGUCCAGACUUGGGUUUCUUCUCUUGAGCAGCAACUUGUUUGUUGUUCUUCCUGAAGUUUCCCUUCUUCUUCCCUUUACCCUUUUUCUUGAAACUCGUGGUUUUGUUAACCAUCAACACUUGAUGCUCCUUUUUGAUUUCUACAUCCGCAGCCUUUAGCAUUGCGAAGAGCUCGAGAAUUGUCUUGUUCAUCCCUUGCAUAUUAUAGUUCAUCAAGAAGCUCUUGUAGCUUGGUGGCAGUGAUUGAAGAAUUCUGUCAAUGACACUAUCAUCAGGAAGAUUAACUCCCAGUUGAAUCAAGUGAUUAUUAUACCUAGACAUUUUGAGUAUAUGUUCACUGACAGAACUAUUCUCCUCCAUCUUGCAGCUAUAGAACUUAUUGGAGACUUCAUAUCUCUCAAUCCGAGCAAUUGCUUGAAAUAUUAACUUCAACUCCUGGAACAUCUCAUAUGCUCCAUGACGUUCAAAACGUUGUUGAAGUCCCGGUUCUAAGCCGUAAAGCUUGGCACAUUGAACUAUCGAGUAGUCAUCAGUUUUGCUCUGCCAAACGUUCACAACGUCUGCAGUUGCAUCUGCAGCAGGCCUAGCACCCAGCGGUGCUUCCAGGACGUAAUUCUUCUGUGCAGCAAUGAGGAUAAUCCUCAUGUUACGGACCCAGUCCAUGUAAUUGCUACCAUCAUCUUUCAACUUUGCUUUCUCAAGGAACGCAUUAAAAUUCAACGGAACAACAGCAGGGGCCAUCUAUCUACAAUAACAUAGACAAGCAAAAUACUAUCAGGUACUAAGUUCAUGAUAAAUUUAAGUUCAAUUAAUCACAUUACUUAAGAACUCCCACUUAGAUAGACAUCUCUCUAAUCAUCUAAGUGAUCACGUGAUCCAAAUCAACUAAACCAUAACCGAUCAUCACGUGAAAUGAGUAGUUUUCAAUGGUGACCAUCAUUAUGUUGAUCAUAUCUACUAUAUGAUUCAUGCUCGACCUUUCGGUCUCAGUGUUCCGAGGCCAUAUCUGCAUACGCUAGGCUCGUCAAGUUUAACCUGAGUAUUCUGCGUGUGCAAAACUGGCUUGCACCCGUUGUAGAUGAACGUAGAGCUUAUCACACCCGAUCAUCACAUGGUGUCUCGGCACGACGAACUUUGGCAACUGUGCAUACUCAGUGAGAUCACUUUUAUCUUGAAAUUUAGUGAGAGAUCAUCUUAUAAUGCUACCGUCAAUCAAAGCAAAAUAAGAUGUAUAAAGGAUAAACAUCACAUGCAAUCAAUAUAAGUGAUGUGAUAUGACCAUCAUCAUCUUGUGCUUGUGAUCUCCAUCUUCGAAGCACCGUCAUGAUCACCAUCGUCACCGGUGCGACACCUUGAUCUCCAUCGUAGCAUCGUUGUCGUCUCGCCAACUAUUGCUUCUACGACUAUCGCUACCACUUAGUGAUAAAGUAAAGCAAUUACAGGCAUUGCAUACAAUAAAGUGACAACCAUAUGGCUCCUGCCAGUUGCCGAUAACUUGGUUACAAAACAUGAUCAUCUCAUACAAUAAAAUAUAGCAUCACGUCUUGACCAUAUCACAUCACAACAUGCCCUGCAAAAACAAGUUAGACAUCCUCUACUUUGUUGUUGCAAGUUUUACGUGGCUGCUACGGGCUGGGCAAGAACCGUUCUUACCUACGCAUCAAAAACCACAAUGAUAUUUCGUCAAGUUAGUGUUGUUUUAACCUUCACAAGGACCGGGCGUAGCCACACUCCAUUCAACUAAAGUUGGAGAAACAGACACCCACCAGCUACCUAUGUGCAAAGCACGUCGGUAGAACCAGUCUCGCGUAAGCGUACGUGUAAUGUCGGUCCGGGCCGCUUCAUGCAACAAUACCGCUGAACCAAAGUAUGACAUGCUGGUAAGAAGUAUGACUUGUAUCGCCCACAACUCACUUGUGUUCUACUCAUGCAUAUAACAUCUACGCAUAAACCUGGCUCGGAUGCCACUGUUGGGGAACGUAGUAAUUUCAAAAAAAAUCCUACUCACACGUAAGAUCAUGGUGAUGCAUAGCAAUGAGAGGGGAGAGUGUUGUCCAUGUACCCUCAUAGACCGAAAGCGGAAGCGUUAGCACAACGCGGUUGAUGUAGUCGUACGUCUUCACGAUCAGACCGAUCCAAGUACCGAACGUACGGCACCUCCGAGUUCAGCACACGUUCAGCUCGAUGACGUCCCUCGAACUCCGAUCUAGCUGAGCUUUGAGGGAGAGUUUCGUCAGCACGAUGGUGUGGUGACGGUGAUGAUGUUGCUACUGACGCAGGGCUUCGCCUAAGCACCACUACGAUAUGAUCGAGGUGGAAUAUGGUGGAGGGGGGCACCGCACACGGCUAAGAGAUCAAGAGAUCAAUUGUUGUGUCUAGAGGUGCCCCCUACCCCCGUAUAUAAAGGAGGGAGAGGAGGAGGGGCGGCCAAGGAGGAGGAGGCGCGCCCAAGGGGGGCAAUCCUACUCCAAGUAGGUUUCCCCCCUCUUUCCUAGUCCAAGUAGGAGAGGGGAAGGAAGGGGAGGAGAAGAAGAAGGAAAGGGGGGGCCGGCCCCCUAGUACAAUUCGGUUUGGGCUAGGGGAGCCACGUGCCCCUAGCUGGCCGCCUCUCCUCUUCCUCCACAUGGGCCCAUGAGGCCCAAUAACCCCCCGGGAGGUUCCGGUAACCUCCCGGUUCUUCGGUAUUUAUCCGACAACGCCCGGAACUCAUCCGAUGUCCGAAUAUAAUCUUCCAAUAUAUCAAUCUUAACGUCUUGACCAUUUCGAGACUCCUCGUCAUGUCCGUGAUCACAUACGGGACUCCGAACUACCUUCGGUACAUCAAAACACAAAAACUCAUAAUACCGAUCGUCACCGAACUUUAAGCGUGCGGACCCUACAGGUUCGAGAACUAUGUAGACAUGACCAAGACACUUUUCCGGUAAAUAACCAAUAGAGGAAUCUGGAUGCUCAUAUUGGCUCCCACAUAUUCUACAAAGAUCUUUAUCGGUCAAACUGCAUAACUACAUAUGUUGUUCCCUUUGUCAUCGGUAUGCUACUUGCCUGAGAUUCGAUCGUCGGUAUCUCAAUACCUAGUUCAAUCUCGUUAAUGGCAAGUCUCUUUACUCGUUAUGUAAUGCAUCAUCCCUCAACUAACUCAUUAGUCACAUUGCUUGCAAGGCUUAUUGUGAUGUGCAUUACCGAGAGGGCCAGAGAUACCUCUCCGACAAUCGGAGUGACAAAUCCUAAUCUCGAAAUACGCCAACUCAACAUGUACCGCUCAAAAUGUCAUUCAUCUCUAUUUCAAAAUCGAGCUCUGGCACCUCUACAAAUCCCUUCUUCCCUCUGCGAAGGGCCUAUCUAUUUACUUUUAUGUUGAGUCAUCACCCUCUUAUUAAAAAGCACCCACUGGAGAGCACACUGUCAUUUGCAUGCAUUACUAUUAGUUUAUAUCGGGUCUGACUUUACUAGAUCUCUUUUACCAUGAAUUACAAUGUUUAGUCAGUCCUUGAUCUUUAAAGGUGCUCUCCAUUUAUGUUUUGCGGCCUUAGAAAGGGCUAGCCAGAUACCAUCUUGUUAUAUCGUAUUAUGAUUGUUUUGAGAAAGUGUUGUCAUCCGAGUUUUAUUAUUAUUGCUCGCUAGCUGAUUACGCCAUUCAUAUAAGUAAACAUGAGACCUAUGUGUUAUUGUGAAUGUGGUUAGUUAUAAUCCUUGCUGAAAACUUGAAUGCUGGCUUUACAUAUUUACAACAACAAGAGCAAAUAGAGUUUGUAAAAUUUUUCUUUAUCACUUUCAGUUUGUCAACUGAAUUGCUUGAGUACAAGCAAAGGUUUAAGCUUGGGGGAGAUGAUACGUCUCCAACGUAUCUACUUUUCCAAACACUUUUGCCCUUGUUUUGGACCCUAAUUUGCAUGAUUUGAAUGGAACUAACCCGGACUGACGCUGUUUUCAGCAGAACUGCCGUGGUGUUUUUUUUGUGCAGAAACAAAAUUUCUCGGAAUGACCUGCAAAUCCACGGAGAUAACUUUUGGAAAAUAUAAAAAAUGUUGGCGAAAGAAUUAAUGCCAGGGGGCCCACACCCUGUCCACAGGGGUGGGGGGCGCGCCCCCUCCCCCUGGGCGCGCCCCCCUGUCUCGUGGGCCCCCUGAUGCUCCACUGACCUCAACUCCAACUCCAUAUAUUCCGUUUCACGGAGAAAAAAAUUAGAGAGGAAGUUUCAUCGCGUUUUAUGAUACGGAGCCGCCGCCAAGCCCUAAAACCUCUCGGGAGGGCUGAUCUCGAGUCUGUUCGGGGCUUCGAAUAGGGGGAUUCGUCGCUGUCGUCAUCAUCAACCAUCCUCCAUCACCAAUUUCAUGAUGCUCACCGCCGUGCGUGAGUAAUUCCAUCAUAGGCUUGCUGGACGGUGAUGGGUUGGAUGAGAUUUACCAUGUAAUCAAGUUAGUUUUGUUAGGGUUUGAUCCCUAGUAUCCACUAUGGUCUGAGAUUGAUGUUGCUAUGACUUUGCUAUGCUUAAUGCUUGUCACUAGGGCCCGAGGGGCAUGAUUUCAGAUCUGAACCUAUUAUGUUUUCAUGAAUAUAUGUGAGUUCUUGAUCCUAUCUUGCAAGUCUAUAGUCACCUAUUAUGUGUUAUGAUCCGACAACCCCGAAGUGACAAUAAUCGGGAUACUUCUCGGUGAUGACCGUAGUUUGAGGAGUUCACGUAUUCACUAUGUGUUAAUGCUUUGGUCCAGUAAUCUAUUAAAAGGAGGCCUUAAUAUCCCUUAGUUUCCAAUAGGACCCCGCUGCCACAGGAGAGUAGGACAAAAGAUGUCAUGGAAGUUCUUUUCCAUAAGCACAUAUGACUAUAUUCGGAAUACAUGCCUACAUUAUAUUGAUGAACUGGAGCUAAUUCUUUGUCACCCUAUAAUAUAACUAUUACAUGAUGAAUUGCAUCCGACAUAAUUAUCCAUCACUAAUCCAUUGCCUACGAGCUUUUCACAUAUUGUGCUUCGCUUAUUUACUUUUCCGUUGCUACUGUUACAAUUACCACAAAACUGCUAUCGUUACUUUUGCCACUGUUACCAUUACUAUCAUACUACUUUGCUACUAAAUACUUUGCUGCAGAUACUAAGUUAUCCAGGUGUGGUUGAAUUGACAACUCAACUGCUAAUACUUGAGAAUAUUCUUUGGCUCCCCUUGUGUUGAAUCAAUAAAUUUGGGUUAAAUACUCUACCCUCGAAAACUGUUGUGAUCCCCUAUACUUGUGGGUUAUCAAGACUAUUUUCUGGUGCCGUUGCCGGGGAGCAUAGCUCUAUUCUUUGAGUCACUUGGGAUUUAUAUCUACUGAUCACUAUGAAGAAGUUGAAAGAUCAAAGAACUAAAAUCUAUCCCUCAACUACGAGGGGAGGUAAGGAACUGCCAUCUAGCUCUACACUUGAUUCUCCUUCUGUUAUGAGUAAGCUUGCGACACCUAAACCUGCUACUGCUAUUAAUUCUAAUAUGUCGCAUGUUAUUGAUGAUGCCACUUCUACUAAGCAUGAUACUUAUGAUGAAACUACUUCUAUGCUUGAUAAAACUGUGCCAUUAGGUGAAUUUCUUGAUGAACAACUUACUAGAGCUAGGGAGAAUGAAAUUAUUGAAACUGAUUAUAUUGAAGAUAGUGAUGAUGAAGGUUCUCCCCCUAAAUAUGAAUUGCCUGUUGUUCCUGAGGGUUAUGUUAUGGAUGAAGAAACUGCUAGAGAUUUUCUUCCUUGCAAUGACAGAUCAGAUCUUAAGAAAUUAUUAGCUAAGCUGAAACAGAAAACUUUGAAUGCUAAAAUGAAAUAUGACUCUGCUUUUGCUACUUCACGUAUUUUUGUUACUGAUAAGGAUUAUGAAUUCUCUGUUGAUCCUGAGAUUAUUACUUUAGUUGAAUCUGAUCCUUUCUAUGGCACUGAAUCUGAAACUGUUGUGGCACAUCUUACCAAGUUGAAUGACAUAUCCACCCUGUUUACUAAUGAUGAGAAAUCCCGCUAUUAUUAUAUCCUUAAGAUUUUCUGUUCUCAUUAAAGGAUGAUGCUAAAACUUGGUUUAAUUCUCUUGAUUCUGGUUGUGUGCGUAGUCCCCAGGAUAUGAUCUAUUACUUCUCUGCUAAAUAUUUCCCUGCUCAUAAGAAACAAGCUGCCUUGCGGGAAAUAUAUAAUUUUGUGCAAAUUGAAGAAGAGAGUCUCCCACAAGCUUGGGGGAGGCUUCUCCGAUUACUUAAUGCUUUGCCUGGUCAUCCUCUUAAGAAAAAUGAAAUAGUUGAUAUCUUUUAUAAUGGACUAACCAAUGCUUCCAAGGACCACUUGGAUAAUUGUGCUCGUUGUGUUUUCACGGAAAGAACAGUCGACCAAGCUGAAUUGUUAUUGAAUAAUAUGUUGACUAAUGAAAAUAAUUGGACUCUUCCUGAGCCAAUUCCUGAGCCAAUUGAGCCAACUCUUGAGCCUAUUCCUAAACCAACUCCGAAGAAGAGGGGUGUUCUAUUUCUCAGUCCUGAAGAUAUGCAAGAGGCAAAGAAAUCAAUGAAAGAAAAGGCUAUUAAAGCCGAAGAUGUUAAAAUUUUAACUCCUAUUGAAGAAAUACAUGGUCUUAAUAUACCGCCUGAUGAGGAAACAUGUUGUCUUGAUAACCCGACACAGGUAGUGAAGGUAAAUUCUCUCUAUAGAUAUGAUAAAGUUGAAAUUCCGUCUACUAAAUUUCCUAGCCAGUGCUUAGAUGAAUUUGAUGACUUUAUGGAUAAACAAGCAAAUUUUAAUGAUUAUGUUAGUAGACAGUUGAAAAAUAAUGCUUACAUGAUUGGACGCUUGAGUGAUUAUAUGUCUAGAGUUAAGGGUGAACUUAAACUUACUAGUAAACAUGUUUCUAUGGUCACCACUCAAGCUGAAUAAGUACUUAAGGCUCAGAAUGAAUUGCUUGAUGAAUUAAAUAAUAAACAUGACUUUGCUGUUAGAAUGGCUACUAGAACUGGUAAAAUGACUCAGGAACCUUUGUAUCCUAAAGGCCACCCUAAGAGAAUUGAACAAGAUUCUCAUAAUAAUAAUCUAGAUGCUCCUAGUUCUUCUAAGAAGAAGAAAAAGAAAAAUGAUAGGACUUUGCAUGCUUCUAGUGAACCUAAUGUAGAAACACCUGAGAAUCCUAAUGAUACUUCUAUCUCUGAUGCUGAAACACAAUCCGGAGAUGAGCAUGAACCUAAUGAUAAUGCUAAUAAUGAUGAUCAUGUAGAUGCUCAACCUAGUAAUAACAAUGAUAUAGAAAUUGAACCUGUUGUUGAUCUUGAUAACCCACAAUCAAGAAAUCAACGUUAUGAUAAGAGAGACUUUGUUGCUAGGAAACAUGGUAGGGAAAGAGGACCAUGGAUUCAAAAACCCAUGCCUUUUCCUCCUAAACCAUCCAAGAAAAAGGAUGAUGAGGACUUUGAGCGCUUUGCUGAAAUGAUUAGACCUGUUUUCUUACGCAUGCGCUUAACAGAUAUGCUUAAAACGAACCCUUAUGCUAAAUACAUGAAAGAUAUCAUUACUAAUAAAAGGAAAAUACCUGAAGCUGAAAUCUCCGCCAUGCUUGCCAACUAUACCUUUAAGGGUGGAAUACCUAAGAAACUUGGUGAUCCCGGAGUACCCACUAUACCAUGUUCCAUAAAAAGAAAUUAUGUUAAAACUGCCUUAUGUGAUUUAGGAGCCGGUGUUAGUGUUAUGCCUCUUUCCUUGUAUCGUAGACUUGAAUUAAGUAAGUUGACACCUACUGAGAUAUCUUGGCAAAUGGCUGAUAAAUCAACUGCUAUACCUGUCAGCAUUUGUGAGUACGUGCCUGUUGUUGUUGCGAAUGUUACUAUCUUAAUAGACUUUGUCAUUCUUGAUAUCCCUGAGGACGACAGUAUGUCGAUUAUCCUUGGUAGACCUUUUUUUAAUACUGCAGGUGCUGUUAUUGAUUGCAAUAAAGGCAAUGUCACGUUUCAUGUUAGUGGAAAUGAGCAUACGGUACACUUUCCGAGGAAUCAACCUCAAGUUCACAACAUAAAUUCUAUCAGGAAAAUUCCAUCAAUUAUAUUUGAAGGUUUUGAAUUUCCUCUUCCUACUGCAAAGAAAAAGUAUGAUAUUCUUAUUAUAGGGGAUGUUCAUAUCCCCGUUGAGGUAACAUAGUGCCACUUCGAAAUUUCUCCGGUUCCAUGUUAUUCUGAAUGAGUUUGUUAACAAGACUUGAUCAACCUUGUUAGUGGAUUCCUUUUGAUGAUCAUGAGAUGGAUGAAACUAGAAGGCACCACCUUCUGUACUCUCUCUUUACUUUAUGUUACUUAGAAUAAAUAAAGUAGAAAUAAUAUAUUUUGUCUAUUUUCUGAAUUAUCCAUGCAAUAAAAAAUAUCCCGAAAAUAAAAGUUCUCCAAAUGCCAUGCCAAUUUAAUAUGACUUUUUGUGGAAUAUUUGAGAAUAUUUGGCACUGGGAACACAGCAGGGGGAGCAAGCACCUGGCCACAAGGGUCUAGGGCGCGCCCACCCCUACAGGGCGUGCCCCCCUGCCUCGUGGGCCCACGGUGGCUCCCCUCCACUUACUCCUGCACCCACACACUCCAUCUUCCUCCCAAAAAAAUCCCCAUCUAGCUCAAGCACGAGUUCUAGCUUGUUUUGCUGCGAUUUUCGAUCUCCUUGCUCAAAGCUCCAUUCACAAAACUGCUUUGGAGAUUGUUGCUUGGUAUGUGACUCCUCCAAUGAUCCAAUUAGUUUUUGUUCUAGUGCUUUAUUCAUUGCAAAUUCUUGCUACUUAGGUGACCCUGUUCUUGAGCUUGCAUUUAAAUUUAUGAGGUCCCAAGUAAUUCUAAUGCAUGAUAUAGGCUCUAGGCACUUAUGGGAGUGGUUGCUAUCAAUUAUAUUGAGUUUGUUUCACUUUUAUUUUGAAGUUACUAAAAAUUUCAGAAUUUUCAGAAAAAGAUGAAGAGGUGGUUCUUGAGGGGCUCUUCUAGCCAAGGCUCCAAGGAUAAGCAAGCUAAGGAGAAAGAGAAGGCCAAGUAUAAUCUUCCUCGCAUAGCGGAAGUAAGGCCUUGUGAGUGGCCAUGUGAUAAUUUCUUGAGAGCAACCGGGAUUUAUAAAGACUUUUAUUCUUUGGCUGAAAAUGCGGGCCUCACCGACUUCCUCCAUGACUGGAUCGAACAGUAUCUCUUACUUACCAAUACUUUCGUGCAAAACUUUUAUUAUUAUCCUAAGAACUCACCUCCUUUAGUAUCUUUUCAUUUAUAUGAUGAGGCUAAGGAAAUGUCAUUACAUAAUUUUUGCGCGGUUUGUAGAAUACCCUUUGAGGGUAGCUUGGAUGAACAACAUCGUAAAGAUGUGGAUGGCUCCGUUGAUACUAUUGAUGUAGGGGAAUCGAAGAAAGGUUUCGAUGCAAGAAUCACUAGCAUACACUUUCCUGUUUUAUGCUACUUUGCCAUAUUUGCUAGUCGAUGCUUAAUUGGUCGUGGAAAUAGUGGAAAUUUUAGUGUUCCUGAUAUUAUUAUUCUGCUCCAUGCCUUAUUCGGUGAUAAAACUUUUAGUAUGGGAGCUGUUAUUGCUAAACGGUUAAGCCUAAACCGUACACCCUGUCCAUGAGGGUGGGGGGCGCGCCCCCUCCCCCUGGUCGCGCCCCCUGUCUCGUGGCCCCCCUGAUGCUCCACCGACCUCAACUCCAACUUCAUAUAUUCCGUUUCACAGAGAAACAAAUCAGAGAGAAAGUUUCAUCGCGUUUUACAAUACGAAGCCGCCGCCAAGCCCUAAAACCUCUCGAGAGGGCUGAUCUGGAGUCCGUUCGAGGCUCCGGAGAGGGGGAUUCAUCGCUGUCGUCAUCAUCAACCAUCCUCCAUCACCAAUUUCAUGAUGCUCACCGCCGUGCGUGAGUAAUUCCAUCGUAGGCUUGCUGGACGGUGAUGGGUUGGAUGAGACUUACCAUGUAAUCAAGUUAGUUUUGUUAGGGUUUGAUCCCUAGUAUCCACUAUGUUCUGAGAUUGAUGCUGCUAUGACUUUGCUAUGCUUAAUGCUUGUCACUAGGGCCCGAGUGCCAUGAUUUCAGAUCUGGACCUAUUAUGUUUUCAUGAAUAUAUGUGAGUUCUUGAUCCUAUCUUGCAAGUCUAUAGUCACCUAUUAUGUGUUAUGAUCCGACAACCCCGAAGUGACAAUAAUCGGGAUACUUCUCGGUGAUGACCGUAGUUUGAGGAGUUCAUGUAUUCACUAUGUGUUAAUGCUUUGGUCCAGUACUCUAUUAAAAGGAGGCCUUAAUAUCCCUUAGUUUCUGAUAGGACCCCGCUGCCACAGGAGAGUAGGACAAAAGAUGUCAUGCAAGUUCUUUUCCAUAAGCACAUAUGACUAUAUUCGGAAUACAUGCCUACAUUAUAUUGAUGAACUGGAGCUAAUUCUUUGUCACCCUAUGAUAUAACUAUUACAUGAUGAAUUACAUCCGGCAUAAUUAUCCAUCACUAAUCCAUUGCCUAUGAGCUUUUCACAUAUUGUGCUUCGCUUAUUUACUUUUCCGUUGCUACCGUUACAAUUACCACAAAACUACUAUCGUUACUUUUGCCACUGUUACCAUUACUAUCAUACUACUUUGCUGCAGAUACUAAGUUAUCCAGGUGUGGUUGAAUUUACAACUCAACUGCUAAUACUUGAGAAUAUUCUUUGGCUCCCCUUGUGUCAAAUCAAUAAAUUUGGGUUGAAUACUCUACCUCAAAAAUUGUUGCGAUCCCCUAUACUUGUGGGUUAUCAGCGGGCGACGCUCAUUAGUACCGGUUCGUGGCGAACCUUUAGUACCGGUUCGUGCCACGAACCGGUAUUAAAGAGGUGGUGGCCUUUAGUACGGGUUGGUGGCUCCAACUGAUACUAAGAGCAUGUCUAACAGAGCCCUCAAACUGGUCAAACCCUCAAAAUAACUGCCAGUUUGAGGGUUGAGCUGAAAAAAGGGCGCAGAUCAGAACCCUCAAAUCUUUAAACCCUCAAUUUUUUUUCCAGGCCGAACCCUCAAGUUUGAGGCCAACCUGUAGCAGUGAGGGUUUGUGCCAAUUUCCCAGGCCGAACCCUCACUCGGUCAACGUCCGCGCGGGAGGGAAAAUUCCCCCACCUUCCUCCCUCCUCCGCCCAACCUCGGCCCGCCAGCGCCGGCAUCGCCGAUUCGGCCGCCACCACCGUCGCAUCGCCACCGCCCCCCGCCGCCCCACGGCGCCCCAUUUUGGCCGCUGCCCCGCCGCCCGAUUUGCCCGAGCUCGCCUCCGCCCCNNNNNNNNNNNNNNNNNNNNNNNNNNNNNNNNNNNNNNNNNNNNNNNNNNNNNNNNNNNNNNNNNNNNNNNNNNNNNNNNNNNNNNNNNNNNNNNNNNNNNNNNNNNNNNNNNNNNNNNNNNNNNNNNNNNNNNNNNNNNNNNNNNNNNNNNNNNNNNNNNNNNNNNNNNNNNNNNNNNNNNNNNNNNNNNNNNNNNNNNNNNNNNNNNNNNNNNNNNNNNNNNNNNNNNNNNNNNNNNNNNNNNNNNNNNNNNNNNNNNNNNNNNNNNNNNNNNNNNNNNNNNNNNNNNNNNNNNNNNNNNNNGUCCGCCCCCGCCUCCUGCAGCCCCGCCGCAUCGAUGUCCGCCCCCCGCCUCCUGCUGCCCCGCCGCGUCGCCGUCCGCCUCCACGCCCCCCUCGACUCCGGCUCCGCCCGAGCCACUCGGUAAGUCUUUUUUCCCUUUUUUGUUUCUUUUCCAUUGUUUAAUUGUUGUCUAAUUGCUUGUUUAAUUUGUUGACAAUAGAUGGAGAUGUUGGAUUUUUUGAUUGGUCGUCUUCGGAUGAUUCGGACAUCGAGGAGCUGCUAGAAGACAAUGACACGGAGAUGAUGGUCACCAUUCUCGCCGUGAAAGAUGUUGAGGAUUGCAACAAGCUGUUGGAUCAGAGGAAGGGGUUGCAGAUAGGGCGCCUUUGCAUCGAGAGGAACCGCGCACUCGGCCACGAGCAACUCAUGCAAGACUACUUUGCAGAGGUACCGACAUACCCACCUCGCCUCUUCCGUAGAAGGUACCGCAUGCACCGUACUUUGUUUGAGGGAAUCGUCAAAGAUUGCGAGGCCAACUCGCAUUAUUUCAGGCACCGUACAAAAUGUUGCCGGUGCCAUGGGAUUUAGUGCAUACCAGAAGAUAUCGGCUGCAAUGCGGGUGCUCGCGUAUGGCAUACACGUGGACUACUGUGACGAGUAUCUUCGCAUUGGCCAAGAUACUACCACCGAGUCCGUGCGUAGGUUUGCCAAGAUGGUCAUCCGGUUGUAUGGUGAUUGGUAUCUUCGGGCUCCCAAUGAGGAAGAUACAAAGAGGUUGAUGGAGACAAAUGAAAAAAGGGGAUGGCCGGGCAUGCUUGGUAGUCUAGAUUGCAUGCACUGGAAAUGGAAAAAUUGCCCAAAGGCAUGGCAUGGAAUGUAUUACGGUAAAAGCCAUGAUCCUACCAUUGUGCUUGAGGCCAUGGCAUCGCAAGACUUAUGGAUUUGGCAUGCAUAUUUUGGUUUGCCGGGAACACUCAAUGACAUCAAUGUGCUUCAAAGGUCCCCUUUAUUUGCAAGACUAGCUUCAGGUGAUGCUCCAACUUGCAAUUACAAGGUCAUGGACAAUGAGUACACAAUGGGAUACUAUCUCACCGAUGGCAUUUAUCCUGAGUGGGCAACACUUGUGAAGUCCAUUAAAGAGAAGAGAGGGAUGCCCUUAUCCCAAAAAGAAGCUAAUUUCACGAGGGCACAAGAAUCAGCCCGCAAAGACAUUGAGAGAGCUUCCGGUGUUUUGCAAGCAAGAUUUGCCAUUGUUCGGGGUCCAGCUCAUUUUUGGGACAAGAAAACCCUUGUGAACAUCAUGAAGUGUUGUGUCAUUCUACACAACAUGAUACUCGAGGAUGAGAGGGGGUUAAACUUGCCAUGUUUCUAUGAUAAUGUUGGUACCCGAGUGCAACUGGAGAGGAACCCCGAUCGCAUUCAAGCUUUUCUUCAAACACAUCGGGAUAUUGAAAAUGCCAAUGCUCAUACCCAGCUCCGCAAUGAUCUGGUCGAGCACCACUGGCAGCUGCUUGGCCGUCGCCAAUGAUGGCCUAUUUGAUUCAAACAUGUCCUAUUUCAUUCCAUGUCCUAUUUGUGAUACAAACAUUGUUGUAAGGGAUAUUUGUUUUACUUUUGUAUGUACUAUUUGAUUCAAACAUUGUUGUACUAAGUAGAAUGAUUGUUGUGAGCUUUAAACAAUUAUUUUAUGUUGUAAUCAUAACUAGAAUAAUUAUUUGUUGUUGAUUAUUGUUAUGUUUGUUGUAUGAAUAUUGGUUGAAAUACUUGUUGUCCAUUUUUGAAGGUUUGAAGGCCGGGGCGCAGAUCAGUGUCCUCAAACCAACCCUCAAAACAGAAUAUUCUGUUUUAAGGGUUGGUUUGAGGACACUAAUCUGCGCCAGUGAUUUUUGGCCUUUAAAACGACAAUUUCUCAAUCCUCAAACUGGUUUUGAAGGUUGAGUUUUGAGGGUUCUAUUAGACAUGCUCUAAAGACCCCCCCCCCUUAGUACGGGUUCGUGCCACCAACCGGUACUAAAGGGGUGCGCUGCCACCCGCAGUGCACAAUGUUUAGUCCCACCUCGCUAGGUGAGAGGAGCUCGCACCGGUUUAUAAGCCCCGCCGCGGCUACCGUGUCGAGCUCCUCUCUAAGAAGGCCUUUGUAGGCCUAUUGCAAGUCGUCUGCCCUGUGGGCCCUAAUGGGUUGUACGGGCUUGCAUCCUGGCCCAACUAGAGGUUGGGUUUCUAGUCGUAUGCAGGCCGUGCCGGCCCAGUAGGUGGGCUGUUUUUGUCGUGCCUCGUGCCACAUGGUGGCCCUUUAGUGUCGGUUCGUGCUGAACCGGGACUAAAGGGGGACCUUUAGUCCCCACACUUUAGUGUCGGUUGUAGAAACCGGCACUAAAAGCCCCUACGAACCGUUAAUAUAGCUCCAUUUUCUACUAGUGAUAGAGCACCGAGCGGUGCGAGGCGUGCAACUCGCUUUGAGCUUCCCGCCUGCUACCAACGUCUUGCUCGUGGAUCGCAGCGAGCUUGCGCACGUGUGUUAUGCUGGCAUGCUACCGUGCUUGCUUCCUGCCGCUGUGCUUGCUUGCUACUGCCACGUUCCAGGAGCGCCGCAGUGAUGCGUCUCGUGCAUGCAUGCUCCUUGUUAGAAGGGAGAAAGAGGAUUGGUGGAAUAAUUGUUGUAUUGCUUGAGCCUCGUGGGCAUAUAUAUAGGAGUACAUGAUCUACUUGGAGUACAAGGCAAGCCAGAAUAUUUCCUAGUCUAACCUAUGUUUCCCAAUACAAUCACGUUACUCAAUACCCCCCCGCAGUCACAACAGUAGCGACACAGACGGUGAGACUGGAGAAGAAUCCGAAGGCAAGCCGACAGACACCCCCACAGUCCUAACGGUCGACGCAUCGCGGAGUCAUGGCUGGAGUGGAAACCAACGAGGUUGCUCAAGCAGGUGAUAGCCCUUUAUGAUGUUUGUCGAUGUAGCCAAGAGCGUGGGUGGUGGAGCCGUGGUCGAGGUAGCCGUGUGAAGAAUGUCGUGGUCGAUGUCGAGUCUGGGUGCGCCGACCGGGCUUGCUAGGCCCGGUGUCGAGGAAGUUGUCGUGGAGCCGCGGGCGCAAGAGGGUGCCGAGUUAGUCAUGGGCGCAGUGGUGAUGAGGUAGUGGUGCGCCGGAAGGAUGAUGGUGUUGACGUGUAGGACCUUGAAGUAAGUCUAGAGGGGGGGGUGAUUAGACUACUUGACCAAUUAAAAACUUAACCUUUUCCCAAUUUUAGAGUUUGACAGAUUUUAGCUAUUUUUAGGACAAGUCAAGGAACCAUCACACAAUUCAAGCAAGCAUGCAAAGAGUAUAUAGGCAGCGGAAAUUAAAGCAUGCAACUUGCAAGAAAGUAAAGGGAAGGGUUUGGAGGAUUCAAACGCAAUUGGAGACACAGAUGUUUUUGGCAUGGUUCCGAUAGGUGGUGCUAUCGUACAUCCACGUUGAUGGAGACUUCAACCCACGAAGGGUAACGGCUGCGCGAGUCCACGCAGGGCUCCACCCAAGAAGGGUCCACGAAGAAGCAACCUUGUCUAUCCCACCAUGGCCGUCGCCCACGAAGGACUUGCCUCACUAGCGGUAGAUCUUCAUGAAGUAGGCGAUCUCCUUGCCCUUACAAACUCCUUGGUUCAACUCCACAAUCUUGUCGGAGGCUCCCAAGUGACACCUAGCCAAUCUAGGAGACACCACUCUCCAAGAAGUAAUAAAUGGUGCGUUGAUGAUGAACUCCUUGCUCUUGUGCUUCAAAUGAUAGUCUCCCCAACACCCAACUCUCUCUCAUAGGAUUUGGAUCUGGUGGAAAGAGCGUUUGAGUGGAAAGCAACUUGGGGAAGGCUAGAGAUCAAGAUUCAUAUGGUAGGAAUGGAAUAUCUUGGCCUCAACACAUGAGUAGGUGGUUCUCUCUCAGAAAUGGUAAGUUGGAAGUGUAGGUUUAGUCUGAUGGCUCUCUCCACGAAUGAAGAGGAGGUGGAGGGGUAUAUAUAGCCUCCACACAAAAUCUAACCGUUACACACAAUUUACCAAACUCGGUGGGACCGAAUCGUUAAACUCGGUCGGACCGAUUUUGUAAACCUAGUGACCGUUAGUGAUUUUCGGUGGGACUGACAUGCAUCUCGGUGAGACCGAUUCGGUUAGGGUUAGGGCAUAACGUAAUCUCGCUGAGACCGAUUACACAAACUCGGUGAGACCGAUUUUGGUAAUUAGCUAACCAGAGAGUUGGUCAGGUAAACUCGGUGGGACCGAUUUGCUCUUUUCAGUGAGACCGGAAUGUUACAAAAAGGAAACAGAGAGUUUACAUUGCAAUCUCGGUGGGACCGAUCGCUCACUUCGGUUAGACCGAAACGUUAUGAAGGGAAACAGAGAGAUUGCAACCCCAUCUAGGUGAGAACGAGAUCCCUAUCGGUAAGACCGAUUUGCUUAGGGUUUGUGGCAGUGGCUAUGACUUUGGAAUCGGUGGCGCCGGAUUGGAAGAAUCGGUGUGACCGAUUUUGGCUUUAGGUUUAGGUCAUUUGUGGAUGUGGGAAAGUAGUUGAGGGUUUUGGAGCAUAUCACUAAGCACAUGAAGCAAUAUGCUCAUUAAGCAACACCUCAUCCCUUCUUGAUAGUAUUGGCUUUUCCUAUAGACUCAAUGUGAUCUUGGAUCACUAAAAUGUAAAAUGAAGAGUCUUGAGCUUUUGAGCUUGAGCCAAUCCUUUGUCCUUAGUAUUUUGAGGGAUCCACUUUCAUCAUCCAUGCCAUGCCAUUCAUUGAGCUUUCCUGAAAUAAUAGUCUUGGAAUAGCAUUAGCUCAAUGAGCUAUAUGUUGUUAUGAAUUACCAAAACCACCUAGGGAUAGUUGCACUUUCAAUCUCCCCCUUUUUGGUAAUUGAUGACAACAUAUAGAUCAAAGCUUCGACAAAUGAUAAGAAAAUUUAAAUAACAUCGUCGCUUUGAGAAGUAUGUGAUAAGCAAGAGCUCCCCCUAAAUUUGUGCAUAGUUUUAGAUUUGCUUUGGACUGCAAAUGCAUAAUGAAUUAGACUCAUGGGUUACUCUUCCAUGUUACAUACAUCUUGGUGGAGCGCUCAAAAUAAUAAACAAUGAAUACAUGCACUCAUCACCAAGCAUAGUGAGUGAUCACAUAAGAUAGAUAGGAUAAUAUCAAGCAUGCAUAAGUGUAGCUUAUGAUCAAACACAUGAUCAUCAAUGUCUCACAAGCAUAGUAUCUCAACCAAAAGCAAACAAAGAUCAAAUAAAGCAAGAGAGAACAAAAGCAACUCUCUCUCUCUCGAAGCCUAUGAUCUAUACAUUUUUCUCCCCCUUUGGCAACAAGUUACCAAAAAAUUCAUAGAAAAUGCAUAGUGCUAGAUCGACUCUCAGGCUUGAUCUUCUGGUGGUGGUGUCCUGAUAACUCCUUGGACGAAGGCUUCAGUUGAUGUAGAGGGUGCUGGAGUUGAUGCUGAAGCUGGUUGCACUAGAGCUGAAGGGGCAGUAGCUGGUGCUGAAGAUGUUGCUCUAGUAUCCGGCACUGGCACAGCAACUGACCUCUGGGCUCUAGGCACUCUGGCAAAGACAUUUGUGGUUGUCUUGCCCUUCCUCUCCUGCAUGUCUUCCUACAGCUGCUCCACAACUGACUGAAUCUCAGUUACCUUGACAUCUAGAUCAUAGAACUUUGUUCCAUGAUUCUCUCCAGGCUCUCCUGAUUCUGAGUUAAGGUGGCCAACCCCUUCUCAAUCCUCAGAGAUGAUGCUAUCAAGUAACCAAGAUGCUCCUGCUUGUUUUUCAAGAAAUACUCAGAUGCCUCCUCUUGAGUUGGCAUCUUGGCAGCCUUCUCCUUCCUUGCCUUCUCUUUCUUCUCCUGAGCUUGAACUGAUUGUGGAUCAUCUUCAUUCAUGACAACCUCAUUGUCCUCAAAGUCUGGAUAAAGUGGAAAGUGUUCCUUAUCCAACUGAUAUUUUCCUAUGCCCAUCUUUGAGUUUAUCAAUUCUUGAAUCUGAGGUGCAUACCCACAACUCCUCUUCUAAUCUGCUGCAGUCCUCUUGAUUGUUUCAAUGAUCAGGCUCAUGACUUUGAAUUUUUGUGGCACAUCAAAUAAAUGCAACAUAUUGAUGGCAUGCCCUCUGAUCUUGUUAUGGUCACCAGACUUGGGCAACAAAGUGUGCCUCAGAAUCCAAUUUAUAGUAGGCAGCCCUGACAACAGAAAAUGGACUGAUCCAAAAGAGAAAGUCUCUAGGGCUUUGUCUGGAAUUUCCUUGUACAUGUGAGCCAUUGAAUUGUGACCCAUCUUCUUCUUGGCAUAAAUGUCUAGGUCAUCCUCAUUCUCCUUGGGGGCAUUUAUCAGUUUUGCCCAUUCUUCUACAGUGGAUUGGUACCUUGUACCUUCAGACAUCCAAACAAUUCUUCCAUCUGGGUAGAAGUGUGAUGUGGAGUAGAACUGCAUGAUAAGCUCAUCAUUCCAAUUUGUGAGCUUUUGCCCAACAAAAUCUGCAACUCCACAAGCAACAAAGCUGUCUUACACUCCAGGAUAGUGCUGUUCAUUUUCCUUGAUGAAUUUCCAGUCAACCCACCUCAUGUCACAAACUAUGGGCUUCUUGUCCAAUAAGAUUGUCUCAUAGAAGUCCUGCUGUUCCUUUGUAUGGAACCUGUAAUCAACAGCAGUUCUUCUUCUUGUGGCAUAUGGAUCUGCCAUUCUCCAUAGUCUUAGCCCUGAAUCCUUCCUGAUUCUCAUGUCCUCAGCCACUGGAUGGGUAUCAUUGUGAUCUGGUAUCUUUGGCUUGAGUUUCCUUAGAACAUGUCCUUCUUCAUCUUCUUCCUCAGCAAUCUCAGGCACUGGGGCCUUGUUCUUCUCAGCAGCUGGAAUACUCCUGGUAUUCCUCUUUGGUGCAGACUUGGCCUUGGGGACAGCUUUGGGUGCUUCCUUGGGCUUAGAUGUUGCAGCCCCUGAUCUGAUUGCAUCACCCAUAAGCUUAGGUGCCUUUGGAGCUGGUGCAGCAAGUUCUUCCUCUUCCAUUAUGGAAGGUUGCCCAACAACUCUGGCUAUGGUCUUCUUGACCCUUUCCUUCCUCUUCUUGCUUUCAUCAACUGGCUCUUUGGGAUCAGGGUUCACAUGCAGUUGAGUUGAUGCUCUGGCCUUGGGCAUAGGUUGCCUUCCUGCAGGCCUUUUAAUCUUCAUGCCUGGCUUUAUAUCCUUUGCUGAGCCAAUUUCCUUCUUGAGCACCACUUUCUUGGAAGUAGCCUCAUCUUCCUCAGCCUUGUAAUCUUCAUCCUCUGAAUCUGAAGUUCUUUUCCUCCUUUGCCUAGUUGCAGCCUUUGGCAAAUUGCUAGGAGUACUUCUGCUCCCUUCAUCUGAGGUUGAGGGACUAGUGCCCUCACUCAAGUCCAUCUGCUCUUCUGGCCUGUUCUGGCUGUCACUUUGAUCAGACAUACUUCAAAAGCUGACUGCUGACCCUAUGAAGAGUUAUAGAUGAGAUAGAAAAGAUGAGCAUCACAAAAUACAGAGGUUUUUGCAAAAAGGAAUGACUCAAAAGUUCAGUUUUAGUUUUCCACAGAAAGCAUUUCGGAUCCACCAAUUUUCAAACUCGGUGAUACCGAAGCAGUUUUGGAACCUAAACUGAUGAUCUCGGUUGGACCGAGUUUCAGUUUGGUGGUACCGACACUGCUAGGGUUUCACAGAGUCCUCAAAUCGGUUGCACCGAUUAGUAAUUCUCAGUCAGACCGAGAGUCACUAGUGCAAUGGCAUAAGCCAAAUCGGUGAGACCGAGUUUUUCAACUCGGUGGGUCCGAGAUGGUUUCGGCGGAAACCUAACCCUAAAAAUUUGAAUCACAUCUAAUCUAUGAACUACUUUGGCUGGAUAGAAGAGUUUCAAUCGUGGCAAGAAUCAAUAGGAGUACAAUGUGCUAGGAAUCAGAUAUGGAUAGCACAAAGAUCAAGUCCAUACCCUAACUUGGCGGUGGACUUGCUACAGCGGCAACGGCGGAGACGAAAUCCAUUGACGGCGGCGGAGACCAGCGACAGGAGGCUGCUGGCGACGAGGAGACGAUCCGGAGACCACGAUGGCAGAGCGAGCUGUUGCACGGGCGAAGGGUUUCGAAGAAAUUUCCAAAAUUUUGCCCGUGUCUAUAUAUAGCCCGACCCUGUCGGUGUGACCGAGUGGAACAACUCGGUGGCACCGAGAUGCAUAACUGUGUUCAGUUAUAGCAACUCGGUGAGACCGAAAAGUUCAAAUCGGUUGCACCGAGAUGGAAAACUCAGAUCAACUUAAUGAUCUCGGUAGGACCGAAAUGGAGGAAUCAGUCAGACCGAGAAUCACAAAGAGGUUUUGGAAGUUUAAGUCUAUGACGAAUCGGGGACUCCGAGUGCUCCUCACGCAGAGUGGUUCGAAUCUGACUUGAUCAAAUUUUGUGAUGUAGCAUGAAUAGAGUUUGAGACGAGAAAAGCAUAGAUAGCUAAAUAAGGUUCUUAGGCAUUCUUGUCCAUCCACUUGGCACAAACAAGAGGAACCAAACAAACAAAACAACAAGUGGAUGUUCUCGAAUGAGUAAAAUAUGCACCAACAUGCUCACACAAUAAGAUGGCAAAUGAAAUAUGUGGCAAAGCAUGCACAACCAAUUCUAGCAUCUAUCAAACAAUUGGCGAUGACUAGGUCAUCUACAUAUGAGUAUAUUGACUUAGGAGUCAAAUGAGAACAUUUGAUCAUAGGUCAUACUCAUCGUUUAAGCUCAAGUGGGGUUACCACUUUUACAUAAUGCAUUAAUGUGUUCACACCAUUAGAGUUGCUUUGACUCAAUUCUUUGAGUUAAGCUCCCCCUAGAUGUGAGAUCCCCCUUAGAGGGAUGAACUAACCUUGGGUUUUGUCGAUGAUGACUUCAUGUAGGUGUUGAAGAUGUAGAUGCUCAAUGUUGAUGUAGAUCAUUUGGAGCAAUCCUUUGGAGUGAGUUGCACUUUCAACUUGCCUACAUGGGUUAGUCCCACAAGGAACAAGCAAGAAUAUCCAUAGACAUAGAGUGAUGCACACACAAAAUGAUGUCCAUGAUAACAUUAGAUUACCUUGUCCCUUGCCUUACCACAGAGGGUUUGUGACUCCUUGAACUAGUGCAAGAUGUGAAAGUUGAUUGCACUUGUUCUUGCCAAAAUGAUAUGAGUGAAGAAUGUUGGCGGAGUCACCCUCAAGAACUCUCUAGUUCUUCUUCUUCGGGAUCCACAUCAUCUUGAUGGGAAUCCUUGGAGUUGUAGUUGUACUUGAUGAAGUAGAACUUGACGUAGUCUUAGGGACCCACUUGAACGAGGCUUUAGGUGCUUCUUCAAAUGCAUCAAUCUCUUCUUGAAGCUUGUCCUUGCCUUUGUUCUUGUGGUCUUGUGGUGGAAGAUCAUCUUGAGCUUGUGUCCCCUUGAAGGAAGUAGGAUCAUACUUCUCUUGUUGAGGAACAAACUUUGUCUUGGGGUAUUGAUCUUCUUCCCACUCAACUCCAUUGGCGUUGAACUUUCGUUCAAAACCAACACCUUGAUUCUUCCGGUGCCUUCCUUGCUUGCGUACAAUUUCCUCGAAUUGCUUACUCCCGGCAAGGCUCUUGUAAACACCUUUCUCUAUAAUUCCCUUCAAUAAACUAUUUUCUUGCUCAAGAGUAACUUGGCUAAGAGAAUCAUUAGAGGAAUCAAGAGAACUACUAGAAGCAACAACAUUGGAUUUAACAUUAUUAUUGUUACUACUAGAGGAAGUAUAUUUCUUGUACUUGUUACUAGACUUGACUUGUGGCAUGUAAGUAGAUAAGAGUAAAUGCUUGGCAAUGUAAGAAGAACUUUUCUUGCGGAGAUCAUCAUUGAUUGCCUUUAAGAACUCAUGCUCUUGCUCAAGAUUGAGCUUUUCAAAGCGUAACUUCUCAUGAGCCCUUAAAAGUUCUCGAUGAUCUUCGAAGAUAGUUUCAUGAGCCAACUUAAGAGUGUUUAGUUCUUUAGUUAGAAGCUCAAUUUUCUCCUUAUCAUUGUUAUUCGUUUGAUUUGCAUGAUUAAUUGACGUUUCAUCAUAGUAUUCAUCACUAGAGUUGUCAACAAGUAAAUCAUCAUCCACAAGCAAGUCAUCUUCAUCACUAUUGAAAUCAACAUACUCGGGAUGUGUUACCUUUGGACCUUUGGCCAUGAAGCAUCUUCCAAUUCCUUCAUUUGGUGAGUCAAAUAUGUCGUAGGAGUUGGUUGAGACAAGUGCUAGACCGGCAACACCUUCAUCUUGAGUAUGUUCGGAGUCGGAGUGAUAGCUUCUCUCGAGUGAUUGUCGGAGUCGGAGCUGGAAACCCAUUCACCAACAUGAGCUUGAUGUCUUCGUUUUGUGUAGCUCCUUGAUGACUUGUCCUUCCUUUACGAAUCCUUGCUUCUCCGUGAGGGUCUUCGUUCAUAAUGAUCAUCUCUACUCCUCCUCUCUCUUGGUGGUGAAUCUUCUCUUUUGCUUCUUCUUUUUGGAGAGUCUUCUCUUCUUUUGUAGGGUGCCGCACACUCAUUGGAGUAGUGUCCAGGCUUCCCACAAUUGUAGCAAUUUCGCUCUCGACUAGAAGAUCUGUUGUCAUGAUAAGACCUUGACUUGGAGCUUCUUUCUUUGCUUCUACUCUUGUAGAAUUUGUUGAAGUUCUUCACCAUUAAGCUCAAUUCUUCAUUGAAGGUUUGUUUCUCACUUGAUGAUGUGGGGGCUUCACUUUAGGCUUUGUAAGCACCACUUGACUUGUUGUGAAGUUCCUCCUUAUCCUUGAGUGACAUCUCAUGAGCAAAAAUUCUUCCAAUGACUUCUGUUGGCUUGAGAUUUUUGUAGUUUGGCAUCAUUUGGAUCAAUGUGCACACGGUAUCAUACUUUCCAUCCAAUGCUCUUAGGAUCUUCUUGAUGAUGAAUCUGUCGGUCAUCUCUUCACUCCCUAAGCCGGCAAUCUCAUUUGUGAUAAGUGCAAGCCUAGAGUACAUUUCAGCGACACCUUCACCAUCCUUCAUUUUGAACUUGUCAAGCUGACUUUGGAGCACAUCCAACUUGGAUUCCUUGACGGAUUCGGUACCUUCAUGCAUAUCAAUCAAAGUAUCCCAAGUUUCCUUUGCAUUCUCAAGACGGCUGAUUUUGUUGAACUCUUCGGGGCACAACCCGUUGAAGAUGAUAUCACAAGCCUGAGCGUUGUAUUGCAGCAUCUUCAAUUCUUCUGCAUUCGCUUCACGGUUCGGUUCUCUCCCAUCAAAGAAUUCACCUUGCAAGCCAAUACAAAUAAUUGCCCAAAUGGCGGGGUUAUGUCCGAGAAUAUGCAUUUUCAUCUUAUGCUUCCAACUAGAAAAAUUAGUACCAUCAAAGUAAGGACCUCUACGGUGAUAAUUUCCCUCGCUAGACGCCAUACUAUCCUAGGUUGUGCAACCAAGGCUAUGACCACCAAAAGCUAUGGAAAUCAAAGCAAAUGGAGACCAACGCUCUGAUACCACUUGUAGGACCUUGAAGUAAGUCUAGAGGAGGGUGAUUAGACUACUUGACCAAUUAAAAACUUAACCUUUUCCAAAUUUUAGAGUUUGACAGAUUUUAGCUAUUUUUAGGACAAGUCAAGGAACCAUCACACAAUUCAAGCAAGCAUGCAAAGAGUAUAUAGCCAGCGGAAAUUAAAGCAUGCAACUUGCAAGAAAGUAAAGGGAAGGGUUUGGAGGAUUCAAACGGAAUUGGAGACACGGAUGUUUUUGGCGUGGUUCCGAUAGGUGGUGCUAUUGUACAUCCACGUUGAUGGAGACUUCAACCCACGAAGGGUAAUGGCUGCGCAAGUCCACGGAGGGCUCCACCCAAGAAGGGUCCACGAAGAAGCAACCUUGUCUAUCCCACCAUGGUCGUCGCCCAUGAAGGACUUGCCUCACUAGCGGUAGAUCUUCACGAAGUAGGCGAUCUCCUUGCCCUUACAAACUCCUUGGUUCAACUCCACAAUCUUGUCGGAGGCUCCCAAGUGACACCUAGACAAUCUAGGAGACACCACUCUCCAAGAAGUAACAAAUGGUGCGUUGAUGAUGAACUCCUUGCUCUUGUGCUUCAAAUGAUAGUCUCCCCAACACUCAACUCUAUCUCAUAGGAUUUGGAUCUGGUGGAAAGAGGGUUUGAGUGGAAAGCAACUUGGGGAAGGCUAGAGAUCAAGAUUCAUAUGGUAGGAAUGGAAUAUCUUAGCCUCAACACAUGAGUAGGUGGUUCUCUCUCAGAAAUGGUAAGUUGGAAGUGUAGGUUUAGUCUGAUGGCUCUCUCCAUGAAUGAAGAGGAGGUGGAGGGGUAUAUAUAGCCUCCACACAAAAUCUAACCGUUACACACAAUCUACCAAACUCGGUGGGACCGAAUCGUUAAACUCGGUCGGACCGAUUUUGUAAACCUAGUGACCGUUAGUGAUUUUCGGUGGGACUGACAUGCAUCUCGGUGAGACCGAUUCGGUUAGGGUUAGGGCAUAACGUAAUCUCGCUGAGACCGAUUACACAAACUCGGUGAGACCGAUUUUGGUAAUUAGCUAACCAGAGAGUUGGUCAGGUAAACUCGGUGGGACCGAUUUGCUCUUUUCAGUGAGACCGAAAUGUUACAAAAAGGAAACAGAGAGUUUACAUUGCAAUCUCGGUGGGACCGAUCGCUCACUUCGGUUAGACCGAAACGUUAUGAAGGGAAACAGAGAGAUUGCAACCCCAUCUAGGUGAGAACGAGAUCCCUAUCGGUAAGACCGAUUUGCUUAGGGUUUGUGGCAGUGGCUAUGACUUUUGGAAUCGGUGGCGCCGGAUUGGAAGAAUCGGUGUGACCGAUUUUGGCUUUAGGUUUAGGUCAUUUGUGGAUGUGGGAAAGUAGUUGAGGGUUUUGGAGCAUAUCACUAAGCACAUGAAGCAAUAUGCUCAUUAAGCAACACCUCAUCCCUUCUUGAUAGUAUUGGCUUUUCCUAUAGACUCAAUGUGAUCUUGCAUCACUAAAAUGUAAAAUGAAGAGUCUUGAGCUUUUGAGCUUGAGCCAAUCCUUUGUCCUUAGUAUUUUGAGGGAUCCACUUUCAUCAUCCAUGCCAUGCCAUUCAUUGAGCUUUCCUGAAAUAAUAGUCUUGGAAUAGCAUUAGCUCAAUGAGCUAUAUGUUGUUAUGAAUUACCAAAACCACCUAGGGAUAGUUGCACUUUCAUGACGACCGUCGCGGAGGGUUUGCCAAGCCCGGGGACACAUCGUGGACGAAGGCACGCACCGAUGUUGCCAGCACCGGGCAUGCGUAGACGAACGAAGACGAAGUUGACGAAGCACCGACCAGGCUUGCCACGCCCGGGGACACGUCGUGGAUGAAGGCACGCAUCGGUGUUGCCAGCACCAGGCAUGCGUAGACGAGGGACCUGCACGAGCUGUACGCCAUGUCGGAGAAGUCGGAGGGGCCAGCAGAGAAGAACUCGACGAUGAUUGCGGCACCCAUCGGCAGGGGCCGAUGUCACCAACGGUGGUCGUGAAGGAAAUAUGCCCUAGAGGCAAUAAUAAAGUUAUUAUUUAUUUCCUCAUAUCAUGAUAAAUGUUUAUUAUUCAUGCUAGAAUUGUAUUAACCGGAAACAUGAUACAUGUGUGAAUACAUAGACAAAUAUAUAGUCACUAGUAUGCCUCUACUUGACUAGCUCAUUAAUCAAAGAUGGUUAUGUUUCCUAACCAUAGACAUGUGUUGUCAUUUGAUUAAUGGGAUCACAUCCUUAGAAGAAUGAUGUGAUUGACAUGACCCAUUCCGUUAGCCUAGCACUUGAUCGUUUAGUAUACUGCUAUUGCUUUCUUCAUGACUUAUACAUGUUCCUGUAACUAUGAGAAAUAUGCAACUCCCGUUUACCGGAGGAACACUUUGGGUACUACCAAACAUCACAACGUAACUGGGUGAUUAUAAAGGAGUACUACAGGUGUCUCCGAAGGUACAUGUUGAGUUGGCGUAUUUCGAGAUUAGGUUUUGUCACUCCGAUUGUCGGAGAGGUAUCUCUGGGCCCUCUCAGUAAUGCACAUCAUUAUAAGCCUUGCAAGCAAUGUGACCAAAUGAGUUGGUUAUGGGAUGAUGCAUUACGGAACGAGUAAAGAGACUUGCCGGUAACGAGAUUGAACUAGGUGUUGGAUACCGACGAUCAAAUCUCAGGCAAGUAACAUACCAAUGACAAAGGGAACAACGUAUGUUGUUAUGCGGUUUGACCGAUAAAGAUCUUCGUAGAAUAUGUAGGAACCAAUAUGGGCAUCCAGGUCCCGCUAUUGGUUAUUGACCGAGAAUGGUUCUAGGUCAUGUCUACAUAGUUCUCGAACCCGUAGGGUCCGCACGCUUAACAUUAUGAUGACAUUUUUAUUAUGAGUUUAUAAGUUUUGAUGUACCGAAGUUUGUUCGGAGUCCCAGAUGUGAUCACGGACAUGACGAGGAGUCUCGAAAUGGUCGAGACAUAAAGAUUGAUAUAUUGGAAGCCUAUGUUUGGACAUCGGAAAGGUUCCGGGUGAAAUCGGGAUUUUACCGGAACACCGGGGGGUUACCGGAACCCUCCCGGGGGUUAAUGGGCCUUAGUGGGCCAUGAGGGAGAAGAGGAGGGCCGGCCAGGGCAGGCCGCGCGCCCCCUCUCCCCUAGUCCGAAUAGGACAAGGAAGGGGGGGCGGCGCCCCCCUUUCCUCUUUCCCCUCCCCCCUUUCCUUCUCCACCAAGGCAAGAGGGGGGAGUCCUACUCCCGGUGGGAGUAGGACUCCUCCAGGCGCACCCCAAGGGGGCCGGCCGCACCUCCCCCUCCCUCCUUUAUAUACGGGGGAAGGGGGGCACCCCAUAACACACAAGUUAAUCUACGGAUCGUUCCUUAGCCGUGUGCGGUGCCCCCCUCCACCAUAUUCCACCUCGGUCAUAUCGUCGCAGAGUUUAGGCGAAGCCCUGCGCCGGUAGAACAUCAUCAUCGUCACCACGCCGUCGUGCUGAUGGAACUCAUCCCCGAAGCUUUGCUGGAUCGGAGCUCGGGGAUCGUCAUCGAGCUGAACGUGUGCUGAACUCGGAGGUGCCGUACGUUCGGUGCUUGGAUCAGUCGGAUCGUGAAGACGUACGACUACAUCAACCGCGUUGUUAUAAUGCUUCCGCUUACGGUCUACGAGGGUAUGUAGGCAAUACUCUCCCCUCUCGUUGCUAUGCAUCACCAUGAUCUUGCGUGUGCGUAGGAAUUUUUUUGAAAUUACCACGUUCCCCAACAGUGGCAUCCGAGCCAGGUUUUAUGCAUUGAUGUUAUAUGCACGAGUAGAACACAGGUGAGUUGUGGGCGAUACAAGUCAUACUGCUUACCAGCAUAUCAUACUUUGGUUCGGCGGUAUUGUGAGAUGAAGCGGCCCGGACCGACAUUACGCGUACGCUUACGCGAGACUGGUUUCACCGUUGCGAGCACUCAUGCUUAAAGGUGGCUGGCGGGUGUCUGUCUCUCUCACUUUAGCUGAAUCAAGUGUGGCUACGCCCGGUCCUUGCGAAGGUUAAAACAGCACUAACUUGACGAACUAUCGUUGUGGUUUUGAUGCGUAGGUAAGAACGGUUCUUGCUAAGCCCGUAGCAGCCACGUAAAAUUUGCAACAACAAAGUAGAGGAUGUCUAACUUGUUUUUGCAGGGCAUGUUGUGACGUGAUAUGGUCAAGACGUGAUGCUAUAUUUUAUUGUAUGAGAUGAUCAUGUUUUGUAAUCGAAGUUAUCGGCAACUGGCAGGAGCCAUAUGGUUGUCGCUUUAUUGUAUGAAAUGCAAACGCCCUAUAAUUGCUUUACUUUAUCACUAAGCGGUAGCGAUAGUCGUAGAAGCAAUAGAUGGCGUAACGACAAUGAUGCUACGAUGGAGAUCAAGGUGUCGCGCCGGUGACGAUGGUGAUCACGACGGUGCUUCGAAGAUAGAGAUCACAAGCACAAGAUGAUGAUGUCCAUAUCAUAUCACUUAUAUUGAUUGCAUGUGAUGUUUAUCCUUUAUGCAUCUUAUCUUGCUUUGAUUGACGGUAGCAUUUUAAGAUGAUCUCUCACUAAUUAUCAAGAAGUGUUCUCCCUGAGUAUGCACCAUUGCGAAAGUUCUUCGUGCUGAGACACCACGUGAUGAUCGGGUGUGAUAGGCUCUACGUUCAAAUACAACGGGUGCAAAACAGUUGCACACGCGGAAUACUCGGGUUAAACUUGACGAGCCUAGCAUAUACAGAUAUGGCCUCGGAACACGGAGACCGAAAGGUCGAGCGUGAAUCAUAUAGUAGAUAUGAUCAACAUAAUGAUGUUCACCAUUGAAACUACUCCAUCUCACGUGAUGAUCGGACAUGGUUUAGUUGAUUUGGAUCACGUGAUCACUUAGAUGACUAGAGAGAUGUCUGUCUAAGUGGGAGUUCUUAAGUAAUAUGAUUAAUUGAACUUAAAUUUAUCAUGAACUUAGUCCUGGUAGUAUUUUGCAAAUUAUGUUGUAGAUCAAUAGCUUGCAUUGUUGCUUUAAUAUGUUUAUUUCGAUAUGUUCCUAGAGAAAAUUGUGUUGAAAGAUGUUAGUAGCAAUAAUGCGGAUUGGAUCCGUGAUCUGAGGUUUAUCCUCAUUGCUACACAGAAGAAUUAUGUCCUUAAUGCACCGCUAGGUGACAGACCUAUUGCAGGAGCAGAUGCAGACGUUAUGAAAGUUUGGCUAGCUCAAUAUGAUGACUACUUGGUAGUUUAGUGCACCAUGCUUAACGACUUAGAAUCGGGAGUUCAAAGACAUUUUUGAAUGUCAUGGACCAUAUGAGAUGUUCCAAGAGUUGAAGUUAAUAUUUCCAGCAAAUACCCGAAUUGAGAGAUAUGAAGUCUCCAACAAGUUCUAUAGCUAAAAGAUGGAGGAGAAUCGCUCAACUAGUGAGCAUGUGCUCAGAUUGUCUGGGUAAUUCAAUUGCUUGAAUCAAGUGGGAGUUAAUCUUCCAGAUAAGAUAGUGAUUGACAGAAUUCUCUAGUCACCAUCACCAAGUUAGUAGAACUUUGUGAUGAACUAUAGUAUGCAAGGGAUGACGAAAACGAUUCCCGAGCACUUCGUGAUGUUGAAAUCGACAAAGGUAGAAAUCAAGAAAGAGCAUCAAGUGUUGAUGGAUGACAAGAUCACUAGUUUCAAGAAAAGGGCAAAGGUAAAGAAAGGGGAACUUCAAGUAGAAUGACAAGAAAGUUGUCACUCCCACGAAGAAGCCCAAAGCUGAACCAAAGCCUGAAACUGAGUGCUUACACUGCAAAGGAAAUGGUCACUGGAAGCGGAAAUGCCCUGAAUAUUUGGUGGAUAAGAAGGAUGGCAAAGUAAACAAGGGUAUAUUUGAUAUACAGGUUAUUGAUGUGUGCCUUACUAGUGUUUAUAGUAGCCCCUGAUUAUUUGAUACUUGUUCGGUUGCUAAGAUUAGUAACUCGAGACAGGAGUUACAGAAUAAACAGAGACUAGUUGAAGGGGAAGUGACGAUGAGUGUUGGAAGUAGUUCCAAGAUUGAUAUGAUCACCAUCGCACACUCCUAUACUUUCGGGAUUAGUGUUAAACCUAAAUAAACGUUAUUUGGCGUUUGCAUUAAGCAUGAAUAUGAUUUGAUCAUGUUUAUUGCAAUACGGUUAUUCAUUUAAAGUCAGAGAAUAAUUGUUGUUCUAUUUAAAUGAAUAAAACCUUUGAUGGUCAUACACCCAAUGAAAAUAGUUUGUUGGAUCUCGAUCGUAGUGAUACACAUAUUCAUAAUAUUGAUACCAAAAGAUGCAAAGUUAAUAAUGAUAGUGCAACUUAUUUGUGGCACUGCCGUUUGGGUCAUAUCGGUGUAAAGCGCAUGAACAAACUCCAUAAAGAUGGAUUUUCGGAAUCACUUGGUUAUGAAUCAUUUGAUGCUUGCGAACCGUGCCUUUUGGGCAAGAUGACUAAAACUCCAUUCUCCGGAACAAUUGAACGAGCUACUGACUUACUGGAAAUAAUACAUACCGAUGUAUGCGAUCCGAUGAGUGUUAAGGCUCGUGGCAAGUAUCGUUAUUUUCUAACCUUCACAGAUGAUUUGAGCAGAUAUGGGUAUAUCUACUUGAUGAAACAUAAGUCUGAAAUAGUUGAAAGGUUCAAAGAAUUUCAGAGUGAAGUGGAAAAAUCAUCGUAACGAGAAAAUAAAGUUUCUGCGAUCUGAUCGCGGAGACGAAUAUUUGAGUUACGAGUUUGGUCUUCAAUUAAAACAAUGUGGAAUAGUUUCACAGCUAACGCCACCUGGAACACCACAAUGUUAUGGUGUGUCCGAACGUCGUAACCACACUUUAUUGAUAUGGUGCGAUAUAUGAUGUCUCUUACUGAUUUACCACUAUUGUUUUGGGGUUAUGCAUUAGAGACAGCUGCAUUCACGUUAAAAAGGGCACCAUCUAAAUCCGUUGAGACGACACCAUAUGAACUGUGGUUUAGCAAGAAACCCAAGUUGUCGUUUCUUAAAGUUUGGGGCUGUGAUGUUUAUGUGAAAAAGUUUCAUCCUGAUAAGCUCAAACCCAAAUCGGAGAAGUGUGUCUUCAUAGAAUACCCAAAGGAAACUGUUGGGUACACUUUCUAUCACAGAUCCGAAGGCAAGAUAUUCGUUGCUAAAAAUGGAUCCUUUCUAGAGAAGGAGUUUCUCUCGAAAGAAGUGAGUGGGAGGAAAGUAGAACUUGAUGAGAUAACUGUAUCUACUCCCUUGUUGGAAAGUAGUUCAUCACAAGAACCGGUUCCUGUGACAACUACACCAACUAGUGAGGAAGCUAAUGAUAUUGAUCAUGAAACUUCAGAUCAAGUUUCUACUGAACGUCGUAGGUCUACCAGAGUAAGAUCCGCACCAGAGUGGUACGGUAAUCCUAUUCUGGAAGUCAUGUUACUUGACCAUGAUGAACCUACGAACUAUGAGGAAGCGAUGAUGAGCCCAGAUUCCGCAAAAUGGCUAGAGGCCAUGAAAUCUGAGAUGGGAUCCAUGUACGAAAACAAAGUAUGGAUUUUGGUUGACUUGCCCGAUGAUCGGCAAGCCAUUGAGAAUAAAUGGAUCUUUAAGAACAAGACUGACGCUGAUGGUAAUAUAACUCUCUAUAAAGCUCGACUUGUUGCGAAAGGUUUUCGACAAGUUCAAGGGGUUGACUACGAUGAGACUUUCUCACCCGUAGCGAUGCUUAAGUCUGUCCGAAUCAUGUUAGCUAUUACUGCAUUUCAUGAUUAUGAAAUUUGGCAAAUGGAUGUCAAAACUGCAUUCUUGAAUGGAUUUCUGGAAGAAGAGUUGUAUAUGAUGCAACCAGAAGGUUUUGUUGAUCCAAAAGAUGCUAACAAAGUGUGCAAGCUCCAGUGAUCCAUUUAUGGACUGGUGCAAGCAUCUCGGAGUUGGAAUAAACGUUUUGAUAGUGUGAUCAAAGCAUAUGGUUUUAUACAGACUUUUGGAGAAGCCUGUAUUUACAAGAAAGUGAGUGGGAGCUCUGUAGCAUUUCUGAUUUUAUAUGUAGAUGGCAUAUUAUUAAUUGGAAAUGAUAUAGAAUUUCUGGAUAGCAUAAAGGGAUACUUGAAUAAAAAAAUUUCAAUGAAAGACCUCGGUGAAGCUGCUUACAUAUUGGGCAUCAAGAUCUAUAGAGAUAGAUCAAGACGCUUAAUAGGACUUUCACAAAGCACAUACCUUGACAAAAUUUUGAAAAAGUUCAAAAUGGAUCAGGCAAAGAAAGGUUUCUUGCCUGUGCUACAAGGUGUGAAGUUGAGUCAAACUCAAUGCCCGACCACAGCAGAAGAUAGAGAGAAAAUGAAAGAUGUUCCCUAUGCUUCAGCCAUAGGCUCUAUCAUGUAUGCAAUGUUGUGUACUAGACCUGACGUAUGCUUAGCAAUAAGCUUGGCAGGAAGGUACCAAAGUAAUCCAGGAGUGGAUCACUGGACAGCGGUCAAGAACAUCCUGAAAUACCUGAAAAGGACUAAGGAUAUGUUUCUCGUAUAUGGAGGUGACAAAGAGCUAGUCGUAAAUGGUUACGUUGAUGCAAGCUUUGACACUGAUCCGGACGAUUCUAAAUCGCAAACCGGAUACGUGUUUUUAUUAAACGGUGGAGCUGUAAGUUGGUGCAGUUCUAAACAAAGCGUCGUGGCGGGAUCUACAUGUGAAGUGGAGUACAUAGCUGCUUCUGAAGCAGCAAAUGAAGGAGUCUGGAUGAAGGAGUUCAUUACCGAUCUAGGUGUCAUACCUAGUGCAUCGGGACCAAUGAAGAUCUUCUGUGACAAUACUGGUGCAAUUGCUUUGGCAAAGGAAUCCAGAUUUCACAAGAGGACCAAGCACAUCAAGAGACGCUUCAAUUCCAUUCGGGACCAAGUCCAAGUGGGAUACAUAGAGAUUUGCAAAAUACAUACGGAUCUGAAUGUUGCAGACCCGUUGACUAAGCCUCUCUCACGAGCAAAACAUGAUCAACACCAAGACUCCAUGGGUGUUAGAAUCAUUACUAUGUAAUCUAGAUUAUUGACUCUAGUGCAAGUGGGAGACUGAAGGAAAUAUGCCCUAGAGGCAAUAAUAAAGUUAUUAUUUAUUUCCUCAUAUCAUGAUAAAUGUUUAUUAUUCAUGCUAGAAUUGUAUUAACCGGAAACAUGAUACAUGUGUGAAUACAUAGACAAACAUAUAGUCACUAGUAUGUCUCUACUUGACUAGCUCAUUAAUUAAAGAUGGUUAUGUUUCCUAACCAUAGACAUGUGUUGUCAUUUGAUUAAUGGGAUCACAUCAUUGGAAGAAUGAUGUGAUUGACAUGACCCAUUCCGUUAGCCUAGCACUUGAUCGUUUAGUAUACUGCUAUUGCUUUCUUCAUGACUUAUACAUGUUCCUGUAACUAUGAGAAAUAUGCAACUCCCGUUUACCGGAGGAACACUUUGGGUACUACCAAAUGUCACAACGUAACUGGGUGAUUAUAAAGGAGUACUACAGGUGUCUCCGAAGGUACAUGUUGAGUUGGCGUAUUUCGAGAUUAGGUUUUGUCACUCCGAUUGUCGGAGAGGUAUCUCUGGGCCCUCUUGGUAAUGCACAUCAUUAUAAGCCUUGCAAGCAAUGUGACCAAAUGAGUUAGUUACGGGAUGAUGCAUUACGGAACAAGUAAAGAGACUUGCCGGUAACGAGAUUGAACUAGGUGUUGGAUACCGACGAUCAAAUCUCGGGCAAGUAACAUACCGAUGACAAAGAGAACAACGUAUGUUGUUAUGCGGUUUGAUCGAUAAAGAUCUUCGUAGAAUAUGUAGGAACCAAUAUGGGCAUCCAGGUCCCGCUAUUGGUUAUUGACCGAGAAUGGUUCUAGGUCAUGUCUACAUAGUUCUCGAACCCGUAGGGUCCGCACGCUUAACGUUACGAUGACAGUUUUAUUAUGAGUUUAUAAGUUUUGAUGUACCGAAGUUUGUUCGGAGUCCCGGAUGUGAUCACGGACAUGACGAGGAGUCUCGAAAUGGUCGAGACAUAAAGAUUGAUAUAUUGGAAGCCUAUGUUUGGACAUCGGAAAGGUUCCGGGUGAAAUCGGGAUUUUACCGGAACACCGGGGGGUUACCGGAACCCUCUCGGGGUUAAUGGGCCUUAGUGGGCCAUGAGGGAGAAGAGGAGGGCCGGCCAGGGCAGGCCGCGCGCCCCCUCCCCCCUAGUCCGAAUAGGACAAGGAAGGGGGGGGGGCGGCGCCCCCCUUUCCUCUUUCCCCUCCCCCCUUUCCUUCUCCACCAAGGCAAGAGGGGGGAGUCCUACUCCCGGUGGGAGUAGGACUCCUCCAGGCGCACCCCAAGGGGGCCGGCCGCACCCCCCCUCCCUCCUUUAUAUACGGGGGCAGGGGGGCACCCCAUAACACACAAGUUAAUCUACGGAUCGUUCCUUAGCCGUGUGCGGUGCCCCCUCCACCAUAUUCCACCUCGGUCAUAUCGUCGCGGAGUUUAGGCGAAGCCCUGCGCCGGUAGAACAUCAUCAUCGUCACCACGCCGUCGUGCUGACGGAACUCAUCCCCGAAGCUUUGCUGGAUCGGAGCCCGGGGAUCGUCAUCGAGCUGAACGUGUGCUGAACUCGGAGGUGCCGUACGUUCGGUGCUUGGAUCGGUCGGAUCGUGAAGACGUACGACUACAUCAACCGCGUUGUUAUAAUGCUUCUGCUUACGGUCUACGAGGGUACGUAGACAAUACUCUCCCCUCUCGUUGCUAUGCAUCACCAUGAUCUUGCGUGUGCGUAGGAAAUUUUUUGAAAUUACUACGUUCCUCAACAGGUCGGAGUAGACGAAGUGGUCGGGGUAGAUGACGGCGACGCUGGCGACGGGCUGGUGCUUGGACGAAGACCGAAGGGGGUGGACGGGCGGCGCAGCGGCUAUGAAGGUAGCGGCGGCGGUGGCCAAAGAAGAGCAGCGACGGCGGCCUGGUGAAGGCGACGGCGGCUAGGUUAGGAGCGCGGCGGCGGUGCUCGAAGUAGGCGAAGAACCCUGACAGCGUGACGAAGACCGGCGUGGACGGUAGCGUUCCCGUGCCAAGGGAGACGGCGCGGCGCAUACCACGGGAGGUCGACGCGCGAUGACGGCGGAGUGGUUUGUGGGCCGUGGCGCUACGGCCUGAAGGGGCGACGCAGCGGCGGUAGGAGGGUCGGGGCGACGACGGGAAGACCUCGGGGUGGCGGCGGGGACCAUGGGCCGCAACGCUGCGGCCCGAAGGGGCGACGCAAGGGCGGUUCGCGGGUCGGUGCAGCCGCAGGGACGGCCUCGGGGCGGCGGCAGGGACUGCGUAUCGCGACACUAUGGCCCGAAGGGGCGACGCAACAGCGACACUCGGGUCGAUGCAGCCGCGAGGAGAACCACGGGGCGGCGGCGCUAUGGCCCGACGGGGCGACGCAGCGGCAGCCCAAUGUUCGAUCAGUGAAGAGGCGCGCUGAACUCAGGGAUGAUCUUCACGGGACCUGCGGAGGCACACGUAACCGACGGGCCAGGUCGGUCACGCCGCGUAGAUGAGGCGGAUCGCCGCGGCGCGCGGGUGAUCAAGACGAUCGCGUGCGAGGUCGAGGACGCCGCUCGGUGGAGGCGUGGUGGCGGCGGAGUCCGAUAUGAAGUCGGCGACGACGGACGGCGUGAGACGUCAUGCGGACAAGCUUGUCAGCACCGGCACCCGGGCUGCCAAAGCAACACCGACGCCCCGGCAGCGAGGCCCGAGUGACCAACGGAGCAGCCCGAGUUGAGGCAGCCAACAAGCCUGACGCAGUUGUCCCGACGCAGCUAAGGACGAGGCCGGCGAGGUAGACCGCCGGGCCGCCGUGCAGAUGCGGCGGAGGCGGGUGAUGUGGAUCAAUGGGCGGGCCGGCACGCGAGCGACGACUAUGAUUGGCCGUCGCAUGGCGCGUGGCCACCGGGUCGGGGCGAUGCAGGUGUCCCGGUCGGAGCAGGACGGUGACGGCCGACGCAUGGCGACGGGCGACCGACGCGCGGACGACGGCUUGCCCUGACGGGCCGCCUCGGCGCGUGUGGCUGUCGGGUCGGAGGAGAGGUCGGCUGGUCGCGUCGGGGUCGAAGUAGAGGCGCUCGGUGUCGACGGCGACGGCGGGCGACGCAAACCGAUCAAGAUUAGAUUGGAAAACAAAAAAAACCGCCGAUCGAGAUGACCGGCGGGAGAGAGAAAACCCCGGAGCAAGGGCUCGGGGAAAAGACUCUCUAGGGCAGCCGGUCAACACGACCGGCGGGCGGACCCUAGGUACGGGCAGCGCGGCCCCCGGCGGCGGUCAUGAAGACCAACCGUCCCGAGGGCGGCGCGCGGGUGCGGAAGCGGCGGCGGCUGGGGUUUAGGACCGAUUAGUUUGAUACCAUGUUAGAAGGAGAAAGAUGAUUGGUGAAAUAAUCGUUGUAUUGCUUGAGCCUCGUAGGCAUAUAUAUAGAAGUACAUGAUCUACUUGGAAUACAAAUCAAGCCAGAAUAUUUCCUAGUCUAACUUAUGUUUUCUAAUACAAUCACGUUACUCAACACUCCUGGCCAGCAACGUGUGUGCCCGCUUUGGGCCAGCAGCUUGCGUGCGUGCUGCCGGUAGCAGCGUGUGUACGUGCGGCAGACGGAGGCAGUGGCUGCGAGGCCGGCGGCGGAUGGUAUGGCGCGAAAGUGUUGGGGUCGGGCAAGUCAGAGAUAAGGCUGGUCACAGUGGGGAGGAACUUAAGAGUAACAUCACACACUCCAAUACAACUUUGCUUAUGUGGCACGUAUUUAAUGAAGAAAGAGGUGUUUGUGGUAACUAGCUAAGUUACCGGAACAUCACACACUCCAAGAAACAAUGAGUCUAUAACCUAAUAAAUACAUCAUUGCAUGACACUACAUAGAUGUUCCUACCCACUAUGGAGGUAGUAACAUAGUCUAGGAAAGUGUGAAGUUACUAGCUUAUGUUCUUGCCCAUUGUGACCAGCCUAAAGAAAACGAGCCACUUUUUUUCACUCCUCCCAACCAACAAUGACUGCUGAUGUGGUGCUGCCCUGUCAGCAUUGACUAUGGUCAAAACUGCUUGACCAACUCAAAACCGAGAGCAGGUUUGAGUUUUGAACUCAUGUGUGAUUCGGGGUGUAUUUCGACCGGUUUUAAAGAUCAGGGUUAUAAAUUAAACCAAAUGGUUAGUUCAGGGUUGAAAUGUUAACUUUUCUAUUUAAGUAAUAUACUCGGAAGAAGAAGAAAAGGAUCCAGCCACAAACGGAACGGAACAGCUCGUUUCGCCCCCAUCGGCCGUACUAACCCAGAUGCAGCAGAGUACCGGAAAAUGCUGUUGUACUAACCCAGAUGCAGCAGAGUACCAGAAAAUGCUUUUGCAGCGGCAAUGAGAUACUACAUCACACAAAAUUUAACUCAACAGCAAAACGCUUCCGAUUAUUACAACAAGCAGGUACUAGUAUGUACAAGCAUCGACAUAAAAACACUCUCCACCCGGAAAAACUGCAACUUACAACAAGCGGCCCUACAAAGGUGCAUGACGAACACCAUAUCUCAAAGCACAGCAAAAAAGGAAACAGCUCUUCCUACAUUCCGAAAACGACUCCGCAGCCGACGAACACCACUCAGGAACAGGCUACAUACAGUUAGCAAGUCCUCCAUCACAGCGACGCUACUACCAGCAAGCUUAAAUAUACGUCCCUCUACGGAACCUACUCCUAUGCAGUUAGCGGUUGGAGGUCGCCCUCAGUCUUCUCAUGGCUCAGCGCGAGCAUACCUGACAAGUCCCAAG
This 41841-nucleotide long non-coding RNA is filed under the name Triticum aestivum (bread wheat). RNAcentral's name for it is "long non-coding RNA (TAES_LNC027812)". The record is from RNAcentral. Lineage: Eukaryota; Viridiplantae; Streptophyta; Magnoliopsida; Poales; Poaceae.